UGGGGAAUAUUGGGCAAUGGGCGCAAGCCUGACCCAGCAACGCCGCGUGAGGGAUGAAGGCUUUCGGGUCGUAAACCUCUGUCGGAAGGGAAGAACGGGUGAGGGUCUAAUAGGCCUUCAUUUUGACGGUACCUUUAGAGGAAGCACCGGCUAACUCCGUGCCAGCAGCCGCGGUAAUACGGAGGGUGCAAGCGUUAUUCGGAAUUACUGGGCGUAAAGCGCACGUAGGCCGCUUUGUAAGUCAGUGGUGAAAUCCCACGGCUCAACCGUGGAACUGCCCUUGAAACUGCAGAGCUUGAAUCCUGGAGAGGGUGGCGGAAUUCCUGGUGUAGGAGUGAAAUCCGUAGAUAUCAGAGGGAACACCGGUGGCGAAGGCGGCCACCUGGACAGGCAUUGACGCUGAGGUGCGAAGGUGUGGGGAGCAAACG
This 428-nucleotide ribosomal RNA is filed under the name uncultured prokaryote. RNAcentral's name for it is "bacterial SSU rRNA". It matches the Rfam family "Bacterial small subunit ribosomal RNA", at positions 355 to 774 of the family's 1533-position model. The record is from RNAcentral.